This 291-nucleotide long non-coding RNA is filed under the name Ictidomys tridecemlineatus (thirteen-lined ground squirrel). RNAcentral describes it as "lncRNA (ENSSTOG00000034398.1)". Lineage: Eukaryota; Metazoa; Chordata; Mammalia; Rodentia; Sciuridae. The record is from RNAcentral.
AAGAGGAUUCUUCUCAGUUAGCAGUAUUCACUAAUGACUAACCAAGGGAAUCAAAAAUGCUGGCAUAGCUUCUGGUCCCAGAAAUAAGCAGGCUUCAAAGUAAAACGAUGGAGAAGCAAUGAUUAUCAGUCUCCAGUGUUCAUUCAUGCUUGCCAAUUGAGUAAUCUGGAUGAAAUUUUUAUCUCCUGUCCAAGAAGAGGCCCAACCCCAAGCCUGGACAUAUUGAUAAUUGAGCUAAGGGAAAGGGUAAGCCAAUAGCUAGUCAUUCUGAAUGCUCAAUUUAAAGAUCCA